Molecule: long non-coding RNA, 1358 nt
Filed under: Monodelphis domestica (gray short-tailed opossum)
Lineage: Eukaryota; Metazoa; Chordata; Mammalia; Didelphimorphia; Didelphidae
Description: lncRNA (ENSMODG00000030890.2)
Source: RNAcentral
ACCUAUUGCUCUGUGGGGACAGGAAGAGAUCAUAACCACACGAGAGACAAAGAGGAUCACAUAAGGGUUUCAGAGCCUCAUGUAAUCAACACAAUGUCAUUGGCAAAUAAAGAGCACUCAGAAGACGUCAGUACCCAUGAUGCUCUGAUUUAUAAGGAAACUCUUCAACUUGGAUGGUCUGCUCUCUCAUCCUUGAUCCUGGCAAACACUUAGGCUGGAGCCCCUUUCUGCCCAGGAAAUGUGGAACUACUUAAUAGAAAAUGCCAGUGGCAAAACUUGCUAUUUCAGUUUUCCAAAGGACAGCAGCUGGCAGACUUCACCAAAUGGGUUUCCCUCCUCCCCAACUGCUCAACUAUCUUCUAUACUAUCGCCUAAGGUCAUACAGCAAACCAAAGGGAGAGGGCAACUCUAUUCGUAGCUCCCCUCCAGAUUUCCCCCCAAAUGGAAAAAGAAAAUCAUAGUCCUUAUGACAAAUAACCAGUCAGCAAAUCAAAUCUCCACAUUGAUCAUGUUCAAAAAUGUGUCUCCUCUGAACCUUGAAUCCAUCUUCUUUCUAACAGGAAGUGGCUAGCAUACUUCCUUAUCAGUGUUCUGAAGUGGAAGUUGGUCAUUGACCUGAUUAGAGUUCUCAAAAAAAAAUUAUGUUCUAAAGUCCAGGUAUCACUGACCUCAAAAUGCCAAAGCGUGCUCCUGCUUUCCCCAACAGUACAUUUAGAAAAUGUGAUACUAUAGGGAGUGAAGAAAUAGGGCAACGUAGCCUAUACUGGAUAACUGUUUUCCUCCAGGAUUUCACCAGACAGCAUUUGGAGCUUCCAUCAAUUCGCCCCUUCACUCCCUCCUACUCCUAAUCCAUCUAAGAAAGCCUGGAGUUGCUUCAGUAGCAAUGCUAAUUUCACUGUGCCUUCUCCUGGUGGUCCUAGAAUAUCUCUCAGGACAAACGCUCUAUGUCCCCUUGGCCACCCAGUGACACUUUCUUCUGCAGAAUCUAUUGUGUGCUCAGAAACUUGCCAUUAUAAUGCAGCGCCUGACCUGGAUUUCUAAUCACAGAGAGCUCCACUGCUAUUCCUGCAGCAGAGGAAGAACACAGUCCUUUCUGCUAUACUUUCUACAAGUCCCAGCCAUCCCCUGGAGCUGCAAAUGUCAUCCUUAACUGACAUUAAAAAAUCAGGUUCCUCUUCUUCCAUCUCAGACUUAAUUUGAAAUUGAAAAAGAUUUUAUAUACUUAGAAUACUUUGUAUGCACCAUAUGUAUUUAACAAAAAUCAAAGCCAGUCCUUGGAACACAUGCUACCACUACACAAGCUGCCGUUUGUUGGGGACACCAAAAUAAAAUAUUUCCACCCAAGUUCUGCUUCUACA